This 483-nucleotide long non-coding RNA is filed under the name Medicago truncatula (barrel medic). Its description in RNAcentral is "long non-coding RNA (MTRU_LNC008269)". Lineage: Eukaryota; Viridiplantae; Streptophyta; Magnoliopsida; Fabales; Fabaceae. The record is from RNAcentral.
CCGGGGCAAAUGUUUCACGAUAAUCAAAACCUUCAACCUGACUGUACCCUUUUGCAACUAAGCGAGCCUUGUAGCGCUCAACGGUUCCAUCUGGGUUGAAUUUGAUUUUGUAAAUCCAUUUGCAACCCACUGGAUUCUUGUUUGGAGGCAAAUCUUGGAGAGACCAAGUGUUGUUAUCAUGGAGAGCAGAAAGUUCUUCAUCCAUAGCAAGACGCCACUUUGGAUCCUUGACUGCCUGGUGAAAGGAGGUAGGUUCUUUAACAACUGAUAUGCAAGUGGUGAAAACACGAUGGGCAGCAGAAAGUCUAUCAUAAUUGAGAACUUGAGACAAGGGAUGAGGAAUACCUUUAGGAGCAGCCAACACCGAGUGAGACGACGGUAAGGAACGAGUCGGCAAGGACACUUCUACGUGAUACUGUUGAAGGUAGCUGGGUGCUUGUAUCUUUCGUUUAGGUAUAGGAGCAGGAAGAGGGGUAUUAUGAG